Ophiocordyceps sinensis CO18 is the source of this 86-nucleotide non-coding RNA. The record is from Rfam. Lineage: Eukaryota; Fungi; Ascomycota; Sordariomycetes; Hypocreales; Ophiocordycipitaceae.
AGAGAAUUGACCGAGUGGUUUAAGGUGGUAAGUUUGAAUUUUAUUAGGUUGUUUAAACCACAUCCGUUCGAAUCGGAUAUUCUCUG